RNAcentral lists this ribosomal RNA (253 nucleotides) under uncultured bacterium. RNAcentral describes it as "partial 16S ribosomal RNA". It matches the Rfam family "Bacterial small subunit ribosomal RNA", at positions 524 to 776 of the family's 1533-position model. The record is from RNAcentral.
UACGGAGGGUGCAAGCAUUAAUCGGAUUUAUUGGGCGUAAAGGGCGCGUAGGCGGAUAAGUAAGUCGGGUGUGAAAUUCCGAGGCUCAACCUCGGAGCUGCACUCGAAACUGCUAAUCUAGAGGAAUGGCGGAGAAAACGGAAUUCCACGUGUAGCGGUGAAAUGCGUAGAUAUGUGGAGGAACAUCUGUGGCGAAAGCGGUUUUCUAGCUUAAUCCUGACGCUGAGGCGCGAGAGCAAGGGGAGCAAACAGG